Molecule: ribosomal RNA, 253 nt
Filed under: uncultured bacterium
Lineage: Bacteria
Description: partial 16S ribosomal RNA
Rfam family: Bacterial small subunit ribosomal RNA
Source: RNAcentral
UACGAAGGGGGCUAGCGUUGCUCGGAAUCACUGGGCGUAAAGGGUGCGUAGGCCGCACGGAAAGUCAGAGGUGAAAUCCCGGAGCUCAACUUCGGAAUUGCCUCCGAUACUCCCGUGCUUGAGGACUGGAGAGGAGUCUGGAAUUCACAGUGGAGCAGUGAAAUGCGUAGAUAUUGUGAGGAACACUAGUGGCGAAGGCGAGACUCUGGACAGUUCCUGACGCUGAGGCACGAAGGCCAGGGGAGCAAACGGG